This 275-nucleotide signal recognition particle RNA is filed under the name Carlito syrichta (Philippine tarsier). RNAcentral's name for it is "Metazoan signal recognition particle RNA (ENSTSYG00000034883.1)". It matches the Rfam family "Metazoan signal recognition particle RNA". From Rfam's summary of the family: The signal recognition particle (SRP) is a universally conserved ribonucleoprotein. It is involved in the co-translational targeting of proteins to membranes. The record is from Rfam by way of RNAcentral. Lineage: Eukaryota; Metazoa; Chordata; Mammalia; Primates; Tarsiidae.
GCUGGGCACAGUGUCUCAAGCCUAUAAUCCAAGUACUUUGGGAGGCCAAGGCAGGAUUGCUUGAGCCCAGGAGUUCUGGGCUAUAACGCGCUAUACUGAUAGUUCCCACUAAGUUCAGCAUCAAUAUGGUGACUUCCCAGGAGCAGGGGACCACCAGAUUGCCUGAGAAAGGGUGAACUGCCCCAGGUCAGAAAUGGAAGUCAAAACUCCCUUGCUGAUCAGUAGUGAGAUCGUGCCACUGCACUCCAGCUCGGGCAGCAUAACAAGACCCCCAU